GGCGGCCAUGAGUCUGUUGCAGCGGGCUUCCGUUACGGCGGUGGCAGCUCUGUCUGGCCGCCGCCUCGGCACUCGACUCGGAUUUGGGGGCUUCCUCACUCGUGGCUUUCCGAAGGCUGUUGCUCCUGUUCGACACAGUGGAGGCCAUGGGAAAAGACUAUUUAUCAUCAAACCUACGGGAUUCUAUGACAAGCGUUUUUUGAAGUUAGCGAGAUUCUACGUUUUCUUGACUGGGAUUCCAGUGGCAAUUAUCAUAACUCUGGUGAAUGUAUUCAUUGGUCCAGCUGAACUAGCAGAAAUUCCAGAAGGCUAUAUCCCAGAACAUUGGGAAUAUUUUCAGCAUCCCAUAUCAAGAUGGAUUGUCCGUACUUUCUAUGAUUGUCCUGAAAAGGAUUAUGAAAAAACAUUGGCCGUCCUUCAGAUUGAAACUGAAAAGGCUGAAUUACGGUUAAAGGAGAUGAAAAUACGAAACUUAAUGCGUUCGAGAGGAGAUGGGCCCUGGUAUCACUUUGACACAGUUGAUAAGGAACUUAUUGAUCAUUCUACAAAAGCAACUCCUGACAAUUAAGCAUUUUUUUCUCUAAAUACAAAGUAUAUUCUCUUUAUUGGAAAAUAAGUUAGUAAAUAUAUUCUGUAUUUUUGUUCUCCAUGAAAAAUAAAAGAGCUUCUGACAUUA
RNA transcript from Sapajus apella (tufted capuchin), 676 nucleotides. It is a transcript of the gene named NADH dehydrogenase [ubiquinone] 1 beta subcomplex subunit 5, mitochondrial pseudogene, with no coding region annotated. The transcript has a single exon. Lineage: Eukaryota; Metazoa; Chordata; Mammalia; Primates; Cebidae. The record is from RefSeq and is a predicted model, not a curated record.